RNAcentral lists this long non-coding RNA (2773 nucleotides) under Salmo salar (Atlantic salmon). Its description in RNAcentral is "lncRNA (ENSSSAG00000116881.1)". The record is from RNAcentral. Lineage: Eukaryota; Metazoa; Chordata; Actinopteri; Salmoniformes; Salmonidae.
AAUCCACUAAUUUACUGCAUUUCAACACAUUUUGCCAUGGUGCAGAGAGAACAAUUUGCAGUUUUAUAAUGUUAUUCUACACAUUUUGUCAUGAGGUUAAGCCAACAUUUUACAGUUAUCUAAUUUCCUGCAAUUCUAUACUUUUUGUCAUGAUAUUGAGAGAUAUUUUUGCAGUUUUAAAUCUUAUUUCCAGAAAUUCGACACAUUUUGCUAUCAUAUGCUAUCUGGGGGACCCCCGACCUCCAGGGUGGCCCCAAAUCCACCCCAAAUUAUGUGGCCCCCUGGAGGUCGGGGUACAUGCCCUGCGUGCCCGUUCGGUAAUCCGGCCCUGGUUUUUGUGGUUUCUUCUACCAGAUGUGUCCUACUAUAAAUAUCAGAUCCCAGAUGUUUCCCACUAGAAAUAUCAGAUCCCAGAUGUAUCCCACUGUAAAUAUCUGAUCCCAGAUGUAUCCCAGAAUGAGCUUCACAGUUAGCACACUCGCUAAGAUGGUACAGUGAGAGUCCAUGGAGAAUUGAUCUACACUGUUAGCGACUUGCUAAGACAAGUACAGUGAGAGUCCAUGGACAAUUGAUCUACCCUGUUAGCGACUCGCUAAGACGGUACAGUGAGAGUCCAUGGAGAAUUGAUCUACACUGUUAGCGACUCGCUAAGACAAGUACAGUGAGAGUCCAUGGACAAUUGAUCUACCCUGUUAGCGACUCGCUAAGACGGUACAGUGAGAGUCCAUGGAGAAUUGAUCUACACUGUUAGCGACUCGCUAAGACAAGUACAGUGAGAGUCUAUGGAGAAUUGAGCUACCCUGUUAGCGACUCGCUAAGACAAGUACAGUGAGAGUCCAUGGAGAAUUGAGCUACCCUGUUAGCGACUCGCUAAGACGGUACAGUGAGAGUCCAUGGAGAAUUGAUCUACACUGUUAGCGACUCGCUAAGACAAGUACAGUGAGAGUCCAUGGACAAUUGAUCUACCCUGUUAGCGACUCGCUAAGACGGUACAGUGAGAGUCCAUGGAGAAUUGAUCUACACUGUUAGCGACUCGCUAAGACAAGUACAGUGAGAGUCUAUGGAGAAUUGAGCUACCCUGUUAGCGACUCGCUAAGACAAGUACAGUGAGAGUCCAUGGAGAAUUGAUCUACCCUGUUAGCGACUCGCUAAGACGGUACAGUGAGAGUCCAUGGAGAAUUGAUCUACACUGUUAGCGACUCGCUAAGACAAGUACAGUGAGAGUCUAUGGAGAAUUGAGCUACCCUGUUAGCGACUCGCUAAGACAAGUACAGUGGUGGUAUGUGGGGAUUUGCUUUAACCACAUUAGCCAUGCUAGCUUGUGACUCAGUUAGCGACUGGCUAAGGCAGUAGAGUGAGAGUCCAUGGAGAAUUGAGCUAGUCCGUUAGCGUUCUAGCCACAUUAGCAGUGGUAGCUGGUGAUGAUGACGAGGUGGUGAACCCAUUAGCCCUGCUAGCUCAGUGAGCCCCAGUUGCUCUGUGUGUGUGUUCGCGCCAUGACUCUGUCCCCAUUGCUCCAUCGCUGCAGGGCUCAGUGUCUCCAGAGAAAAGCAAAGAGCUGCAUACAUUCAGAGUAUCUUGUUCCUAAACAUCACGCCAUGGCUGAGAAUAGGCCUCCUCCACCUCAGGCUUUGGGUUAAUUCAGAUGACUGUGUAAUGGUACAAGAGGCCAUGAAUGAGCUGUAUCCUCCUGCUCCACAUACAGCUGUUGUUGAUCCAUACUGCUGGACAUCAGAGAGAGUGACUGUCUGGACAGCUUACGGCUAGGGCUGGAUACAGGCUGUUUCUGUGAUGUGGGGCUGGAUACAGGCUGUUUCUGUGAUGUGGGGCUGGAUCCAGGCUGUUUCUGUGAUGUGGGGCUGGAUACAGGCUGUUUCUGUGAUGUGGGGCUGGAUACAGGCUGUUUCUGUGAUGUGGGGCUGGAUACAGGCUGUGUUUCUGUGAUGUGGGGCUGGAUACAGGCUGUGUUUCUGUGAUGUGGGGCUGGAUACAGGCUGUGUUUCUGUGAUGUGGGGCUGAAUACAGGCUGUGUUUCUGUGAUGUGGGGCUGGAUACAGGCUGUUUCUGUGAUGUGGGGCUGGAUGCAGGCUGUUUCUGUGAUGUGGGGCUGGAUACAGGCUGUUUCUGUGAUGUAGGGCUGGAUACAGGCUGUUUCUGUGAUGUGGGGCUGGAUACAGGCUGUUUCUGUGAUGUGGGGCUGGAUACAGGCUGUGUUUCUGUGAUGUGGGGCUGGAUACAGGCUGUUUCUGUGAUGUGGGGCUGGAUACAGGCUGUUUCUGUGAUGUAGGGCUGGAUACAGGCUGUUUCUGUGAUGUGGGGCUGGAUACAGGCUGUUUCUGUGAUGUGGGGCUGGAUCCAGGCUGUUUCUGUGCUGUAGGGCUGAAUACAGGCUGUUUCUGUGAUGUGGGGCUGGAUACAGGCUGUUUCUGUGAUGUGGGGCUGGAUACAGGCUCUGUUUCUGUGAUGUGGGGCUGGAUACAGGCUGUGUUUCUGGGAUGUGGGGCUGGAUACAGGCUGUUUCUCUGAUGUGGGGCUGGAUACAGGCUGUUUCUGUGAUGUGGGGCUGGAUACAGGCUGUUUCUGUGAUGUGGGGCUGAAUACAGGCUGUUUCUGUGAUGUGGGGCUGGAUACAGGCUGUGUUUCUGUGAUGUGGGGCUGAAUACAGGCUGUUUCUGUGAUGUGGGGCUGGAUACAGGCUGUGUUUCUGUGAUGUGGGGCUGGAUACAGGCUGUGUUUCUGUGAUGUGGGGCUGGAUACAGGCUGUGUUUCUGUG